AGCGAACGCUGGCGGCAUGCCUAACACAUGCAAGUCGAACGAGACCUUCGGGUCUAGUGGCGCACGGGUGCGUAACGCGUGGGAACCUGCCCUUAGGUUCGGAAUAACUCCCCGAAAGGGGUGCUAAUACCGGAUAAUGUCUUCGGACCAAAGAUUUAUCGCCUUUGGAUGGGCCCGCGCUGGAUUAGCUAGUUGGUAGGGUAAAAGCCUACCAAGGCGACGAUCCAUAGCUGGUCUGAGAGGAUGAUCAGCCACACUGGGACUGAGACACGGCCCAGACUCCUACGGGAGGCAGCAGUGGGGAAUAUUGGACAAUGGGCGAAAGCCUGAUCCAGCAAUGCCGCGUGAGUGAUGAAGGCCUUAGGGUUGUAAAGCUCUUUUACCCGGGAUGAUAAUGACAGUACCGGGAGAAUAAGCUCCGGCUAACUCCGUG
Molecule: ribosomal RNA, 433 nt
Filed under: uncultured bacterium
Lineage: Bacteria
Description: partial 16S ribosomal RNA
Rfam family: Bacterial small subunit ribosomal RNA
Source: RNAcentral